UUGGUACGGGAGGCAGCAGUGGGGAAUCUUCCGCAAUGGACGAAAGUCUGACGGAGCAACGCCGCGUGAGUGAUGACGGCCUUCGGGUUGUAAGCUCUGUUAAUCGGGACGAAAGGUCCUCUUGCGAAUAGUUAGAGGAAUUGACGGUACCGGAAUAGAAAGCCACGGCUAACUACGUGCCAGCAGCCGCGGUAAUCCAA
This 200-nucleotide ribosomal RNA is filed under the name uncultured bacterium. RNAcentral's name for it is "partial 16S ribosomal RNA". It matches the Rfam family "Bacterial small subunit ribosomal RNA", at positions 335 to 528 of the family's 1533-position model. The record is from RNAcentral.